UACGUAGGGUGCAGGCGUUAAUCGGAAUUACUGGGCGUAAAGCGUGCGCAGGCGGCUCCUUAAGUCAGAUGUGAAAGCCCCGGGCUUAACCUGGGAACUGCGUUUGAAACUGGGGAGCUGGAGUGUAGAAGAGGGGGGUGGAAUUCCAGGUGUAGCAGUGAAAUGCGUAGAUAUCAGGAGGAACACCAAUGGCGAAGGCAGUUUGCUAGGCUGAUUCAGACACUGAGAUGUGAAAGCGUGGGGAGCGAACGGG
This 253-nucleotide ribosomal RNA is filed under the name uncultured bacterium. RNAcentral describes it as "partial 16S ribosomal RNA". It matches the Rfam family "Bacterial small subunit ribosomal RNA", at positions 524 to 776 of the family's 1533-position model. The record is from RNAcentral.